UACUGUUAAUGAUGACAUUGUACAGAACAAUGGGAAUCUCUCUGAAAGGGACUGAAGAUAAUUCUCAACUGAAACAGUA
Small nucleolar RNA from Sphaerodactylus townsendi, 79 nucleotides. RefSeq annotates it as small nucleolar RNA SNORD79. The transcript has a single exon. The record is from RefSeq and is a predicted model, not a curated record. Lineage: Eukaryota; Metazoa; Chordata; Lepidosauria; Squamata; Sphaerodactylidae.